This 215-nucleotide long non-coding RNA is filed under the name Setaria italica (foxtail millet). RNAcentral describes it as "long non-coding RNA (SITA_LNC004912)". Lineage: Eukaryota; Viridiplantae; Streptophyta; Magnoliopsida; Poales; Poaceae. The record is from RNAcentral.
AUUGGUAGAAGACGCCUCGCCGAUUCGGCAGCUCUUCGGUGAUGUCAGCGGGCGGGUACCAGAAGAAGCGGAGGAAGCCUUGGCGCCGGCCGCGUAUAUCGAGUCGAUGAGGAUCCCGGUUUUCAGGGCCCUGCGUCACAUGGCCGAUCGCGCCAAGUUGGCCAAGACUCGUGAAGAAGAAGAUACAUACAAGCGUCAGGCCCAAGAGGUGCACC